AUGGAUCGCGUGAUGAAGCUGGCGUCGGAGAGAGCGGUGGUGAUCUUCACCCUGAGCUCCUGCUGCAUGUGCCACACCGUGGCGCGGCUCUUCUGCGACCUGGGUGUCAAUGCACUGGUGCACGAGCUCGACCAAGACCCUAGGGGAAAGGAGAUGGAGAGAGCUCUCCUCAAGAUGCUCGGGAAAGGCCCGUCUGUUCCAGUGGUGUUCAUCGGCGGGAAGCUUGUCGGCGGGACAAACAGGGUCAUGUCCAUGCAUCUCAGCGGCGAGCUUGUCCCAAUGCUGAGGAAUGCAGGUGCCCUCUGGCUAUAG
This 312-nucleotide ribosomal RNA is filed under the name Triticum aestivum (bread wheat). RNAcentral's name for it is "partial small subunit ribosomal RNA". The record is from RNAcentral. Lineage: Eukaryota; Viridiplantae; Streptophyta; Magnoliopsida; Poales; Poaceae.